Molecule: ribosomal RNA, 1340 nt
Filed under: Corticaria ferruginea
Lineage: Eukaryota; Metazoa; Arthropoda; Insecta; Coleoptera; Latridiidae
Description: eukaryotic LSU rRNA
Rfam family: Eukaryotic large subunit ribosomal RNA
Source: RNAcentral
UAGGAUUCCCUUAGUAGCGGCGAGCGAAGAGGGAUGAGCCCAGCACCGAAUCCCGUAGUUUAACGGCUACUGGGAAAUGUGGUGUUUGGAAGCGUCCAUUAUCCCGAUGUCUACGGCAAUGCGUCCAAGUCCAUCUUGAACGGGGCCAAAACCCAUAGAGGGUGCCAGGCCCGUAGUGACCGUUGUCGAUGUCGGGAGGGCGUCUUCCGAGAGUCGGGUUGCUUGAGAGUGCAGCCCUAAGUGGGUGGUAAACUCCAUCUAAGGCUAAAUAUGACCACGAGACCGAUAGCGAACAAGUACCGUGAGGGAAAGUUGAAAAGAACUUUGAAGAGAGAGUUCAAUAGUACGUGAAACCGUUCAGGGGUAAACCUGAGAAACCCGAAAGGUCGAAGGGGGAGAUUCAUCAUGUCUCAUGUGUUGGCGUCGUGUAGUUGUGCGACGAGUGGCGUCCGCGUCAUUUGCGUCUGCUGUGCGAUAAUGCUGGCAUUGAACGUGUGCACUUCUCCCCUGGUAGGACGUCGCGAUCUGUUGGGUGUCGGUCUAAGGCCCGCGGUGGAGCCCGUUGGCGGUGAUUCGUUGCUGCUUUCGGACCCGCGGUGUUUCCCGGCCGACUCGCUCGACAGUGUACGGAUGGCGCAGGGCCGCGGCUUGCUCGCGUCCGGCCUACGGCAAGCAUUCCUGGUUGUGCUGGAUAUCGGACCUAGUGCCGGUUCUGGCCUCCGGUGGCUGUUAGCUGUGGUGCUCUCGGACAGACCCUGUUAAUUCAGCCAAUCUGCGACGCUAUUGCUUUGGGUACUUUCAGGACCCGUCUUGAAACACGGACCAAGGAGUCUAGCAUGUGCGCGAGUCACUGGGACAUAACUAAACCCAAAGGCGUAAUGAAAGUAAAGGUUCGUCUUGCGCGAACCGAGGGAAGAUGGGUGUCUGCAUUCGUCAGCGCCCCGCAUUCCCGGGGCGUCUCGUUCUCAUUGCGAGAAGAGGCGCACCUAGAGCGUACAUGCUGGGACCCGAAAGAUGGUGAACUAUGCCUGGUCAGGACGAAGUCAGGGGAAACCCUGAUGGAGGUCCGUAGCGAUUCUGACGUGCAAAUCGAUCGUCGGAACUGGGUAUAGGGGCGAAAGACUAAUCGAACCAUCUAGUAGCUGGUUCCCUCCGAAGUUUCCCUCAGGAUAGCUGGCGCUCGUUGCGUACGAGUCUCAUCCGGUAAAGCGAAUGAUUAGAGGCAUUGGGGUCGAAACGACCUCAACCUAUUCUCAAACUUUAAAUGGGUGAGAUCUCCGGCUUGCUUGAACAUGAAGCCGCGAGAAUAACGGAUCAGAGUGCCAAGUGGGCCAUUUUUG